This 253-nucleotide unclassified non-coding RNA is filed under the name uncultured fungus. RNAcentral describes it as "sequence contains ITS2". The stretch from base 1 to 52 matches the Rfam family "5.8S ribosomal RNA", at positions 103 to 154 of the family's 154-position model. The record is from RNAcentral. Lineage: Eukaryota; Fungi.
AACGCACCUUGCGCCCUUUGGUAUUCCGAAGGGCAUGCCUGUUUGAGUGUCAUGUAGACUCAACCCCUCGGGUUUCCGAGAUGGUUGGAUUUGGGCGCUGCCUACCCGGCUCGCCUUAAAGGUCUUAGCGGAAUAGCACCGAUGUCGGCGUAAUAAGUUUCGUCGACAGACAAGUGUGAUGUCUGCUCAUAAUCGCCUUCGGGCAUCUUUUGACUCUGACCUCAAAUCAGGUAGGACUACCCGCUGAACUUAA